GGGGAUGUAGCUCAAUGGUGCAGCACUUGCCUGGUAAGCAUGAGGCCCUGAGUUCAAUUCCCAGUACCGCCC
Molecule: transfer RNA, 72 nt
Filed under: Heterocephalus glaber (naked mole-rat)
Lineage: Eukaryota; Metazoa; Chordata; Mammalia; Rodentia; Bathyergidae
Rfam family: tRNA
About the family: Transfer RNA (tRNA) molecules are approximately 80 nucleotides in length. Their secondary structure includes four short double-helical elements and three loops (D, anti-codon, and T loops). Further hydrogen bonds mediate the characteristic L-shaped molecular structure. tRNAs have two regions of fundamental functional importance: the anti-codon, which is responsible for specific mRNA codon recognition, and the 3' end, to which the tRNAs corresponding amino acid is attached (by aminoacyl-tRNA synthetases). tRNAs cope with the degeneracy of the genetic code in two manners: having more than one tRNA (with a specific anti-codon) for a particular amino acid; and 'wobble' base-pairing, i.e. permitting non-standard base-pairing at the 3rd anti-codon position.
Source: Rfam by way of RNAcentral